This 254-nucleotide ribosomal RNA is filed under the name uncultured bacterium. RNAcentral's name for it is "partial 16S ribosomal RNA". It matches the Rfam family "Bacterial small subunit ribosomal RNA", at positions 524 to 776 of the family's 1533-position model. The record is from RNAcentral.
UACGUAGGGGGCGAGCGUUGUCCGGAUUUAUUGGGCGUAAAGAGCUCGUAGGCGGUUCGGCAAGUCGGAUGUGAAAUCUCCAGGCUCAACCUGGAGGGGUCAUUCGAAACUGCCGUGACUAGAGUUCGGUAGAGGAGUGUGGAAUUCCUGGUGGAGCGGUGAAAUGCGCAGAUAUCAGGAGGAACACCGGUGGCGAAGGCGGUUCUCUGGGCCUGUACUGACGCUGAGGAACGAAAGCGUGGGGAGCGAACAGG